RNAcentral lists this transfer RNA (107 nucleotides) under Suhomyces tanzawaensis NRRL Y-17324. RNAcentral describes it as "Candida tanzawaensis NRRL Y-17324 tRNA". It matches the Rfam family "tRNA". From Rfam's summary of the family: Transfer RNA (tRNA) molecules are approximately 80 nucleotides in length. Their secondary structure includes four short double-helical elements and three loops (D, anti-codon, and T loops). Further hydrogen bonds mediate the characteristic L-shaped molecular structure. tRNAs have two regions of fundamental functional importance: the anti-codon, which is responsible for specific mRNA codon recognition, and the 3' end, to which the tRNAs corresponding amino acid is attached (by aminoacyl-tRNA synthetases). tRNAs cope with the degeneracy of the genetic code in two manners: having more than one tRNA (with a specific anti-codon) for a particular amino acid; and 'wobble' base-pairing, i.e. permitting non-standard base-pairing at the 3rd anti-codon position. The record is from Rfam by way of RNAcentral. Lineage: Eukaryota; Fungi; Ascomycota; Pichiomycetes; Serinales; Debaryomycetaceae.
GGGCGUGUGGUCUAGUGGUAUGAUUCUCGCUUUGGGUGACUGUUCAGUUUACUGAGCUAAUUUCACAAGCAUGCGAGAGGCCCUGGGUUCAAUUCCCAGCUCGCCCC